This 253-nucleotide ribosomal RNA is filed under the name uncultured bacterium. Its description in RNAcentral is "partial 16S ribosomal RNA". It matches the Rfam family "Bacterial small subunit ribosomal RNA", at positions 524 to 776 of the family's 1533-position model. The record is from RNAcentral.
UACGUAGGGGGCUAGCGUUGUCCGGAUUUACUGGGCGUAAAGAGCGCGCAGGCGGUCGUUCAAGUCGCGUGUGAAAGCCCACGGCUCAACCGUGGAGGGUCAUUGGAAACUGGGAGACUUGAGUGCAGAAGAGGAAAGUGGAAUUCCAUGUGUAGCGGUGAAAUGCGUAGAGAUAUGGAGGAACACCAGUGGCGAAGGCGACUUUCUGGUCUGUAACUGACACUGAGGCGCGAAAGCGUGGGGAGCAAACAGG